This 545-nucleotide ribosomal RNA is filed under the name uncultured bacterium. Its description in RNAcentral is "bacterial SSU rRNA". It matches the Rfam family "Bacterial small subunit ribosomal RNA", at positions 10 to 527 of the family's 1533-position model. The record is from RNAcentral.
AGUUUGAUCAUGGCUCAGAUUGAACGCUGGCUUGGCAGUGCUUAACACAUGCAAGUCGAGCGGUAACAGUGGUGGUGCUUGCACCCCUGCUGACGAGCGGCGGACGGGUGAGUAAAGCUUAGGAAUCUGCCUGGUAGUGGGGGAUAGCCCGGGGAAACUCGGAUUAAUACCGCAUACGCCCUUUGGGGGAAAGCAGUGGGAUCUUCGGACCUUGCGCUAUCAGAUGAGCCUAAGUCGGAUUAGCUAGUUGGUGGGGUAAAGGCCUACCAAGGCGACGAUCCGUAGCUGGUCUGAGAGGAUGAUCAGCCACAUCGGGACUGAGACACGGCCCGAACUCCUACGGGAGGCAGCAGUGGGGAAUAUUGGACAACUGGGGGCAACCCUGAUCCAGCCAUGCCGCGUGUGUGAAGAACGGCUUUCGGGUUGUAAAGCACUUUUCAGUAACGNGACGGAAAAACCUUACGACUAAUACUCGUGAGGCUAUAGACGUACUUACAGGAAGAACGCACCNGGCUAACUNCCGUGCCAGCAGCCGCGGUAAUACG